ACCGUCCUUAUCUUGGGGUUGCGCGGCUGCUCAAUGAGCGUGUGGCGAGAGCAGCCCUGCUAACGCCUUGAACAACACAAGCGGCGCCCGCUCCGUGCGCGGCGCAAUUUUUGGAACC
This is a small nuclear RNA of Catharus ustulatus (Swainson's thrush), 118 nucleotides long. NCBI's taxonomy places the organism in Eukaryota, Metazoa, Chordata, Aves, Passeriformes, Turdidae. The record is from Ensembl.